RNA transcript from Haliaeetus leucocephalus (bald eagle), 6493 nucleotides. It is a transcript of the gene named Wilms tumor 1 associated protein, with no coding region annotated. The record is from RefSeq and is a predicted model, not a curated record. The transcript has 7 exons. NCBI's taxonomy places the organism in Eukaryota, Metazoa, Chordata, Aves, Accipitriformes, Accipitridae.
UAACUACACUAAAUAAAACUCCUUUUUUUCUGCCCCCUCAGAGUUCACAAUGACGAAUGAAGAACCUCUCCCAAAGAAGGUUCGCCUUAGUGAAGCAGAUUUUAAGGUUUUACCUAGAGACGAGCUCAUCCUAAGGUGGAAACAGUAUGAAGCAUAUGUGCAAGCUCUGGAGGGCAAGUACACAGACCUUAAUUCUAAUGAUGUGACGGGAUUGAGAGAAUCUGAAGAGAAGUUGAAACAGCAACAGCAAGAGUCUGCCCGAAGAGAAAAUAUUCUGGUGAUGAGGCUGGCAACUAAGGAGCAGGAGAUGCAAGAGUGUACUAAUCAGAUUCAGUACCUCAAGCAAGUCCAGCAGCCUAGUGUUGCCCAACUGCGAUCAACAAUGGUGGACCCAGCCAUCAACUUGUUUUUCCUAAAAAUGAAAGGUGAACUGGAACAGACUAAAGACAAACUGGAACAAGCCCAAAAUGAACUGAGUGCCUGGAAAUUUACGCCUGAUAGAGGCCUGACGGCGUCGGACUAUUCUGAAGAAAUGGCCAUCUUCGAAAAAAAAAUCUUUUCUAGAACAUGUAGACAUUUGCAAAAUUGUUCUAUUUGAAGAAAAUAGAGGGAGAAACAGAAGUCUUAAGUCUGUGGCACACUGUGUCUACAGACAGUUUGGAGGAGAGAGAACCUAGAGAUUAUAAAUCAUGAAUUGAACAUGUAAAAUUCCCGUAAAAUGUAGAAGUGGAAUAUGCUUCGCUCUUAACCUUGAGCCUAGUGACUUAGAGACACUGUAAGUCAGUUUUGCCAAUAAGACUGUGGACUUCCUGCUUGUUCACUGAACUGCUGGGUCAAAACUCAAUGAGGUGAAUUUUGCGUUAAAGAGUUUACUUGCUAACCAGUUUUGAAUAGCCAUGAGAGUGCUAUUUGAUAUCACAACAGUGGUAGUGUACACAUUUGACUGUUUAGCCUUUGGGCUCUCUAGCACUUGAUGGAGCCUUAAGUCAAUGUUGCUAACUAAUGAACUGUUUUCUGGAUGGUCGGUAAUACUGUGGACGCCUCAAAAUUAGGACUGUACAAAAAUGUACGUUCUAUCUAAUUGCAGGUUUAAAAUUGUUGGAAGCAAUACACAUUUGAUCACAACUAGCAUGUAUAAGAAAAACUGGUUGUGAUAAGUAUUUCACUGCAUGUUUUCAUGCAGAAAUGAGAAUUUUUCGAUCUUCUAAGAACUGAUCUCAAAUGCUCAAUACAGAAGGCACACAAUGGCAACUGUCUUCAGUGUUGGUGGGGUGUUUUUAUUCGUUUGUACACCUGGUUUUUUUUGUAUUGCACUUCUAUAUAAAAUGUGCCUUGAAAUAGUUGUAAUAUAUAGUUCAAGGAACACUACUGGUUAUCUGUUGUAUUGUGAAACUCCUGGGAUGAACGAGAAUUGAACAGGUUGUUAUUUCUGCAUUGUCUCGUUCUCUGAAAACAAAGUCAGUAUUUCAACAAAGCAAAAAUACUUAAAUGCAUGCAUUUUCCUUGGUGCAAUCAGUGAAAGGAGCCUUUGCUACUCUAUUGGUGCCUCUGUUCUGUUGUCCCAAGUUACUUGUAAGAGUAGCAAUCCGGGACAGUUGGGGGUGCAUGUCUGAGGUGUGUAAAGUGAAAUGCAGAUUUGGUAUAGCAUUUGUGUGUUUGUUUUUUUUUUUUUUCCUUAGAAAAUUGAGUUCUAUUUAGUAAUCUGAGGUUUUGAUUUUCAAAACAGUUGGGCAACAUUUUAUGACUCAGUCUGCUCCUAGAAAAUUCAGUUUUAAAUUAAAAAAAAAAAAGGCAUCCAGCUGUCACAGAAGGUGAUGUAUUCUAACUGUUUUGAUGUCUUUUAUUAAGAUGGCAUUACGUAUUUUUAACUUGGAAGUACCUUAAGUCGGAAGUAUUUUAACUGUUUGUGCUUCAGAUGAUUAAUAUGGGAUUGAAGAGUAGUGUAUUUAUGCAGGUUUAUUUUUUUUGCAUGAGUAAUGACUUAACAGCAAAAGAAAAGCCUACAGAAAAACUUUACCUUUUUAAAAGUGAUACAUCUGGAAUGAUUUUGUUAUAGCAGUAUCUAAGAUUUUAAUGAUCUAGCAUCAAAACAGAGGUAAGACUUGCAUUAAAAAAUUGUUAACGUGUUACCAAGCCAUUUGUAAAGCUCACUAUAAUGUGCGGAUAGAGGCAUGCCGUGCAGAUUGCUUGUUUAACUUGGAGUUCAGAAAAUUAUUUAAUAUAUUUAGAUACAGGCUGGUUGUUUCCUUAAGUCCUCAGGCUCUAAAUGUGUGUGUACAGCUGAGGAGAGACCAAGUAACUUGCCACUUUCUUUCAAGCAAAAGUAUCAAAAGAAAAUUUUGUUAUUUCUGUAGCUACAACAUACCCUAAUAUGCAUCAUAUAAUUUUAAGUCAGUGGUGUGAAUGUGCAUAAUUCAUAUAUGCAGUAGCUGGAAUACAGAAAAUUACAGUUAUUUCCUGGUAAAUAAUUGAGGCUGUCUUCAUUAACUGGGUUAAGAUCUUACUGAUUUUUAUUUCUGGAAGGGUAAAGAAAUGAAGACUCAUAUUAAAGUAUUUAUAGGAUUUUUCAUUCUCUUUGCACCCCAUCCCCCCGCUUUAAUUGCGUUAAUUGUCCAUCCUUGUAUGCAACUACUCUUACUUCAUGGCAUCUGACCUAGUUUUUGAAAGAGAUGAUGCUCCUAUUUGGAUCCCUAACUUGUGUUCUUAGGGUAACAUAUUAACUGCAACCCUAAGCGAUGUUAGUUCUGGGCCUUAACCAUAGAUAAGGGUGUACAGCAUAGUCAUUGUUGAUGUCUGGAGGGAGAAAUAAAAGGGCAUGUAAUUAAAGGAAUGGCUAUGCUAAGCCAUUUCAACCAUCAUUAAUCAUAGAGUAUACACUUGGAUUAAAAAUAGUAGAAAUAUCAUUUACAGUAAGUCUAGUACAACAAAUGCUAGUCUUCUGAAAUUUAACCACUUAUAUUCUUACAGGUUUUGUUGCAUGUAUGUUCAAGAGGAUUUGUGAAAACAAAGCCAAACUUAGUUUUACAGCUCAUAGGAGUUAUUUUAAGAGUUACUGGAUUUUAUAUUCUUGCAUGUGUUGUCUUUUUUGUAAAUUGCAAGGGGAGGUUACUUGGUGCCGUACUAGUUCAGAACAUCUGGAAAAAUCUUGAUGGGAAGAAAUAGCAUUAUAGGUAACUAUGCAAAUUUCUAUACAGGUAAUAAAUAUUUUACAUUUUGGCAGGAGUUAAUGUGAAGAAAUUAAUGGGAUUCUAAAAUGGUCCCAAUUCCAAGGUAACUGGUACUUGCUAAUACUACAGUUGACAUUGUUUUGUGAAGAGAAAAGCAUUAAAUGACUUAAGCACUGUGAACUUCUUCAACUUGUAGUGAUGAUGAAUACAGUAACAGGAAUUUGCAAAUGGCUAAAAAUCAUUGCAUGUCUGCCUAAUAACUUUUGGGAUAUGUCACAUUGGUUAUCUCCAAAGUGGUCCUGCUUUACACAGAAUGAACAUCUCUAAGGAAACUUGCAUCUUAAGUGUGCGACUUGGACUGUAUUAGGUCAGCACAAUUUAAACUUCAAGGACCUGGCAUUGGACAUCACAUCAAGAAAGAAAACAGGUUGCUGCCUUUAGCAGUUUCAGGCUUCCAGGACUUUACACAGCCAGAUUCCUUCUGGAGCAGCCCAUCUGAAAGAUUUGGGAGAGUCAGUCGGAAAAUGUUAAAUGGGGCAGAGUUGGCAGAACUUAAAAGUUGUCUAAGGCUUGAAUGCUUAAAAGGUAGCUGAUAAGGAAAUUAUUAUUUUAAAUUCUUUUGGCUGGGUAUUUUGGUUGCAGGAGAGAACCGUGGCUGUGAAUUGUAGCUGAAAUUUCCUGUUCUACCUCUUUAAUCCUCAAAAUUUCUUUCAAUCUUUGUCACUUGUUUAAAAGCAAACAAACAAAAAAUUAAAUGACCUUCUUGGUCUUGAAAAGUAAUGCAAGUCCUGCCAUUGAAUUCACAAUAAACCUGUUCAAGUUCGGGUGGUUCUUUUUUUUUUUUUUUUUUUUUUUUUUUUGGCAGAGCUUACACUUCUGUAGAAAAGAGGACAGCUUCAGUAUGUUGCUGAGCCUAUUAAAAGGAGAACUGUUUGUGGUUGCUAUCCUGACUUUGGCAGACCAAGAAUCUUAAAGAACUUUAAUUUUUCUCUUUUAUGGAGUCAGCUGUAUUGCCUAUAUAUUAAUUUGCAUACUACUUCCUAUAAUGCUUUACAAUGCCAUUUUUAUCGUGAAGAUUAAAGAUGUGUGAUGUUACCCAUUUAGCAAAGAAAAUCCUGUCAGUUCAAAAUUUCUUUUUUCCUGCCUGUUUCCCAUUUCUUUCAGAAACUGGACAUCCUAAUGUUCAUUACUCAUGAUCCAAAUUCUGUCAUUCUAAAGGAAGUAGAUUCCUUAAUUUCCUGCCAAUUUUUAACUAUGUUUUACUUCAUCCUCACCAUGCAAGAUGCUGACCAUAGAAAUCAUGAAACAGACUGUGUACAUUACUGUCAAAUAUAUAAAUUGAGUUGAAAAACAGACAUCUAACUUUUUAAAGAAGAGUACCUGGACAGCAUUCAAAAGAAUGUCUAAGCCUCUUAAAGAAAAAUGGAUGUCACUAUGAAAAAUUAACAUGGAAUUUUAUAUUUCCCCCCAAGCAACUUUCUUCUCUUCACCCAAAUUUAAUUAUUAAAUUUUGCUAGUACAAUAAAUGAAGAAGGUUUUUGUUUACAAUUCAGUUUACAUGUAUAAUUUUUAUGCAGUACUUGAUCUUUUGAAUUACAAGGCACAUCUUUAAUCAAAUAUUUAACUCCAUUGAGAAUUAGCACAUGCAAGAUUGUGCAUACUGAUAAUCCAGAUGUUGAUAUCAAAAAAGAACAAUAUGCUUAUUCGUAUUUGCAGUAAUAAAACUUGCCUUCCACUUUAUGGGACAGCGACAGAAGAUCAACUGGCAUUGGAACAGCAUGUGGUAACUAUAGGGAGACUUUCUGCUAUGACAAUUAUGUUGAGGCAUAAUGUUCCUUGAAUUGUGACAUGCAGAAAUUGCAUCUCCUUUUUGUUUGUAAUUGUGAUUGAGGAAGAUAACUGAAGGUUUUAUAUUCAUUUUGUGAUAGAUGGCUCUUUCCUUUGCAGCCAAACAGGCAAAAAGUUAAUGGCGAAGUGUCGAAUGCUUAUCCAGGAGAAUCAAGAGCUUGGAAGGCAGCUGUCCCAAGGACGUAUUGCACAGCUUGAGGCAGAGUUGGCUUUACAGAAGAAAUAUAGUGAGGAACUUAAAAGCAGUCAGGAUGAAUUGAAUGACUUCAUCAUCCAGCUUGAUGAGGAGGUAGAGGGUAUGCAGAGUACCAUUCUAGUUCUUCAGCAGCAGUUGAAGGAGACUCGCCAGCAGUUGGCGCAGUACCAGCAGCAGCAGUCCCAGGCCUCCAACCCAGGUACCAGCAGGACUCCAUCUUCUGAGCCCACAGACCAGGGAGAGGCUGUGGGUAAAGACUGCAGCCGUCUGGCAAACGGACCAAGCAAUGGUAGCUCCUCCCACCAGCGGACGUCUGGGCCUGGAUUUUAUAGGGAGGGUAGCGGCACAGAAGAUGACUUCCCAGCUUCUCCAGGGAAUGGUAAUAAGCUGUCCAACCACUCUGAAGAUAGAACUGGUAGAGGAAGUGGUAGCUACAUAAACCAGCUCAGUACUGGGUAUGAAAGUGUAGACUCUCCCACUGGCAGUGAAAACUCUCUCACUCACCACUCAAAUGACACAGACUCCAAUCAUGAUCCUCAAGAGGAGAAAACAGUGAGCAUGAAAGGUAACAGAACUGUGGGUUCUCGUCAUGUCCAGAAUGGUUUGGACUCCAGUGUAAAUGUGCAGGGUUCAGUUUUGUAACAUUUUUCUGCAACAUUUUUAUACAGUGUCAUUUAAAUUGGGAGAGGAUACUGUCCAGAAGCCGUUUAAAUUAGUGCAUACUUGUCACAAUUUUGCCUUUUUGUGGGUUUCUUUUUGCUUCAAUACCUCUGCCACUUUGGAAAUUUUAACAGUUAAUUACGUUGAAUGUUGCUAAAAGGACGUUUGUGUAGCUCAAGUUAUUUUUAUAUGAGUUAAUGUGAAGUUGAAAUGGAAAUUAUUUCCAUAAAGUAUAACAUAAAUGAUGUCUGUACAAAUCUGUGUAUAUCUAGAACCUGUGCUGUGUAAGGGCAUUCUUACUCAUACUGUUAUACUUACACCACCUUCAAGAUUUGUCAUAAUAGCUGUGGGUUUAUGACUGCCAAGUUUGCCCAGUACAGUAGUUUUAUCACUAAAAGAUGGACUUACUGAAGGAGUCCUGUAGUAGUUUCAGUGUUAAUUACAGUUUUUCCCACCAUACAUCUGUGCAUUUUCUCCUUAGGUGACCGAAUGUUUAUGAAUUGUGUGCAUAGUUACUCAGUUUUUAAGAACUGUUGUAUCCUGUUUAUGCAUAUUGCUCUGUGACUCCAAUAUUAUCUUACCUGUACUGACCAAACCUAAAUAAAAACUUUUAAUAAUGUAA